RNAcentral lists this ribosomal RNA (484 nucleotides) under uncultured bacterium. RNAcentral describes it as "partial 16S ribosomal RNA". It matches the Rfam family "Bacterial small subunit ribosomal RNA", at positions 30 to 507 of the family's 1533-position model. The record is from RNAcentral.
AUUGAACGCUGGCGGCAUGCCUUACACAUGCAAGUCGAACGGCAGCACGGACUUCGGUCUGGUGGCGAGUGGCGAACGGGUGAGUAAUGUAUCGGAACGUACCUUUCAGUGGGGGAUAACGUAGCGAAAGUUACGCUAAUACCGCAUAUUCUGUGAGCAGGAAAGCCGGGGAUCGAAAGACCUUGCGCGGAUUGAGCGGCCGAUAUCAGAUUAGCUAGUUGGUGGGGUAAAGGCCUACCAAGGCGACGAUCUGUAGCGGGUCUGAGAGGAUGAUCCGCCACACUGGAACUGAGACACGGUCCAGACUCCUACGGGAGGCAGCAGUGGGGAAUUUUGGACAAUGGGGGCAACCCUGAUCCAGCCAUGCCGCGUGAGUGAAGAAGGCCUUCGGGUUGUAAAGCUCUUUCGGCCGGGAAGAAAUCGCAUAGGCUAAUACCCUGUGUGGAUGACGGUACCGGAAUAAGAAGCACCGGCUAACUACGUG